RNAcentral lists this transfer RNA (67 nucleotides) under Marmota monax (woodchuck). Its description in RNAcentral is "tRNA.Ala". Lineage: Eukaryota; Metazoa; Chordata; Mammalia; Rodentia; Sciuridae. The record is from RNAcentral.
GGUUGUAGCUCAAUGGUAGAGCGCUUGCCUAGCAUGUUUGAGGCACUGGGUUUGAUCCUUAGCACCA